UACGUAGGGUGCAAGCGUUGUCCGGAAUUAUUGGGCGUAAAGAGCUUGUAGGCGGUUUGUCGCGUCUGCUGUGAAAUUUCGGGGCUCAACCCCGAACUUGCAGUGGGUACGGGCAGACUAGAGUGUGGUAGGGGAGACUGGAAUUCCUGGUGUAGCGGUGAAAUGCGCAGAUAUCAGGAGGAACACCGAUAGCGAAGGCAGCUCGCUGGGACGGUACUGACGCUGAGACGCGAAAGCGUGGGGAGCAAACAGG
RNAcentral lists this ribosomal RNA (253 nucleotides) under uncultured bacterium. RNAcentral describes it as "partial 16S ribosomal RNA". It matches the Rfam family "Bacterial small subunit ribosomal RNA", at positions 524 to 776 of the family's 1533-position model. The record is from RNAcentral.